AGCUGCACCAGUCUGUAUCACAACCUUCUAGUCACCAAUGUAAAGCAGACGUCCAAACACACAGGAUUAUUAUUCCUUCACAAAGAUGAUGAAGUCAGUUGCGAUUGCCCUGGUUGUGAUCUUGGUCGUCAGCGUUGAAAGGGCGUUGUGUGAAGAUGACAGAACAGUUGUCCCUUGUGAUGACGAUAAACACUUCUGCUGGGCCCCUGACGACGAAUACAGCUGCACUGAUAACGGCAGAGAGCCUGGUGUGAAGUGCGCUAACGGUGGAGACUGUUGUGUGGUAGCAGACCCGUGCUCCUGGACCCAGUGCUGAGUUUAGACCGUGCGCAAUCAGUACGACUACUUGUUCACACACUGACUUGUGACGAUGACGUAUGCUUCCCAUCUAAGUAAACAUGAUGAUAUUAAAAAUAAUAUAACCAAUAAAAGAUUGAUAAUUACUUA
This is a long non-coding RNA of Gigantopelta aegis, 447 nucleotides long. RefSeq lists it as uncharacterized. Lineage: Eukaryota; Metazoa; Mollusca; Gastropoda; Neomphalida; Peltospiridae. The record is from RefSeq and is a predicted model, not a curated record. The transcript is spliced from 3 exons.